CCUACGGGUGGCAGCAGUGGGGAAUAUUGCACAAUGGGCGAAACCCUGAUGCAGCAACGCCGCGUGAGGGAUGAAGGCCUUCGGGUUGUAAAGCUCUUUCCUCAAGGAAGAUAAUGACGGUACUUGAGGAAGAAGCCCCGGCUAACUACGUGCCAGCAGCCGCGGUAAUACGUAGGGGGCUAGCGUUAUCCGGAUUUACUGGGCGUAAAGGGUGCGUAGGUGGUUUCUUAAGUCAGAGGUGAAAGGCUACGGCUAAACCGUGGUAAGCCUUUGAAACUGGGGUACUUGAGUGCAGGAGAGGAGAGUGGAAUUCCUAGUGUAGCGGUGAAAUGCGUAGAUAUUAGGAGGAACACCAGUUGCGAAGGCGGCUUUCUGGACUGUAACUGACGCUGAGGCACGAAAGCGUGGGGAGCAAACAGGAUUAGAUACCCUAGUAGUC
RNAcentral lists this ribosomal RNA (439 nucleotides) under uncultured bacterium. RNAcentral's name for it is "partial 16S ribosomal RNA". It matches the Rfam family "Bacterial small subunit ribosomal RNA", at positions 338 to 795 of the family's 1533-position model. The record is from RNAcentral.